GCUACACUAUCUGUAAUGUUACUAAGGAUUUCUCUGCCAAAAACAGCUCAUUCCCAACUGCAUAAAUUUGAUAUUUUGUAUUCAAGUUAAGAUGCACAAGCUUCCCAAUAUGCUAAUUAUAUCUCGUCAUUUUUCAAGUGACACUGAAGUUACAAGAUGUAUUAUAAAAGUGGAUACCUAAAACAUGUAAAAUGUGUCUCUUUGCACGUACAAUCUAUAAACAUUACAUGUAAUAUUUUUUAAGCUAUGUUCAUCUGUAUUUGACCCUUCUGACUCAAUUUAUCUAUUUGAAGUGUUCAUCUUGCUAUGGAGAUGCUACUGAAGUACAUAUGUAUCUCUCAAGUUUCAAUUAUUAUAUCUGUAAUGUGUUAUAAUUGUAUAUUUUGGACACCUGUUUGUCAGCUAGAUAUAAAAUUGUAAGGCCCUGCACAAGACAAGCACAUGCACAAGUUCAUCGAAAUGGAUAUUUUGUUUUUGCUUGUUUUAAAUUUUUCUGAAACCUUCCCAAAAUUUGUUUAAAAAUACCUUCUUUUAUAGGUUAAUUUAGGCACAAAUUGAGACAUGAUAAUGUAUAUUUAUUUAGAUACCUGCUGAAUGACAGUCUUCUUCAUUUAAAUAUUAUAAUUUGAGAGUAUAAAAUUUCAUAAUGAAGGUCAUAUACAGUUACAAUUUUAUUUAACAUUUCCAGUAAUUUAUUCGAGUCGGAAGGUCAUAUUAAUGGAACACGACACUUCUUAAGACAGUAAUAAGCUGAUUAGUGUUGCAAUAACGCAUUCAUUGACUUAUUUUGGUAUGUAAAAGUACCUUUAAACAAUUGUUUUCACUGACAGGAAAGGAACACAGGAAAUAGAUGGAUAUUUUUGGAAAACAUUAGCAUUUGUAGACGUCAGAAUUUAAGAAAAUUUACAUAUGGACAUAUUUUUGUCUUUUUUGUCCGUUUAAAGAAAUGACUCAUUAUCACCAGUGUUACCAGAAACUGCUUCAGAUUGAAAAUACAGAAAUAAAUAUUCAUAAUUUUUAGCUCAUCUGAUUUUUUGAAAAAAAAUGAUGAGUUAUUGUCAUCACUUGAGCGGUUGUCGGCGUCGGCGUCGGCGUCGGCGUCGGCGUUGCCUGGUUAAGUUUUAUGUUUAGGUCAGCUUUUCUCCUAAACUAUCAAAGCUAUUGCUUUGAAACUUGGAAUACUUGUUCCCCAUCAUAAGCUGACCCUGUAUAGCAAGAAACAUAACUCCAUCUUGCUUUUUGCAAGAUUUAUGGCCCCUUUUGUACUUAGAAAAUAUCAGAUUUCUUGGUUAAGUUUUAUGUUUAGGUCAACUUUUCUCCUAAACUAUCAAAGCUAUUGCUUUGAAACUUGGAAUACUUGUUCACCAUCAUAAGCAGACCCUGUACAUCAAGAAACAUAACUCCAUCUUGCUUUUUGCAAGAUUUAUGGCCCCUUUUGGACUUAGAAAAUCAGUUUUCUUGGUUAAGUUUUAUGUUUAGGUCAGCUUUUAUCCUAAACUAUCAAAGCUAUUGCUUUAAAACUUGCAACACUUGUUCACCAUCAUAAGUUGACCCUGUAUAGCAAGAAACAUAACUCCGUCCUGCUUUUUGCAAGAUUUAUGGCCCCUUUUUGACUUAGAAAAUAUCAGAUUUCUUGGUUAAGUUUUAUGUUUAGGUCAACUUUUUCUCUUAAACUAUCAAAGCUAUUGCUUUGAAACUUGCAACACUUGUUCACCAUCAUAAGCUGACCCUGUACAGCAAGCAACAUAACUCCAUCCUGCUUUUUGCAAUAAUUAUUGCCCCUUUUGGACUUAGAAAAUCAUUUUCUUGGUUGAGUAUUAUGUUUAAGUCAACCUUUCUCAUAAACUAUCAAAGCUAUUGCUUUAAAACUUGCAACAGUUUUUCACCAUCAUAAGUGGACACUGUACAUCAAGAAACAUAACUCUAUCCUGCUUUUUGCAAGAAUGAUGGCCCUUUUUAGACUUAGAAAAUCAUGGGUAGGACAAUAUUUCUAUUACACAAAAAAAAUCAGAUGAGCGUCAGCACCCGCAAGGCGGUGCUCUUGUUGUUUAUAAGUUUGUUGAGUUUACGAACAUGUCUUGUUUAUAGUCUCUGUUAAAAUUUUAGUGUGUGUGCAUUAAAGUAAUAGUGUAACAGUGCAUUACAAUUUUUUCCCGCUAACCCAAGCUAAAACCACAGAAUUUCUAACUGUAAUUGUGUGUAUAAGAAGACUUAAUUUAUGUACGAGAUAACCUUCUCGGAUGCAUCUUUAAUGCAAACUACUUUAUGAGCUGAUCAAAUACCAAAAGUUUGUUUUGACACUCUGAUUUAAUAGUUUUUUUGUGUCGUUAAGCGCUCAUUUUGGUAGUCGACUGAUAAAUAAAUAAGGGGUUAUUAAAGUACACCAAAAUAUCAAAUUUUGUUCAUUUUAGGCUUAUUCAUAUAUGUUUUUUUUUAAUGGUGUAAAAAAUCUUAUUUUCAUCCCUUGCAUGUAAUUUUAUUAGUAUAUCCCAUUAAGAAAUGUUAAUAGCGGAAUUAUAGCAAAGAAAUAUAGUAAAAUUUGAAUACUGAUAAGGGAUAUGAGAAAUGUUGAAAUGUCUGUAGUAAUUAUACAUCCAACUUGCCAGACUGUAUGAAGAUUGUUGGUCAGCCAGUCCAAGCGAAUUAUGAACAUUAUAAAUAGAAUGAUAUUUAUGUUGUAUUCCCUAAGCUUUUGACUUGCUAUUGACAUUUUGGAAUAAAAUUUCAGUCUGCUUACACCACAUUUUUGUCAACAUAUCGAUACAUAUUCAUUGUCCCUCAUAGAGUUCUAACAUGCUGAUGAACCACAGUUUGCUUUAUCAGAGAAUUUUCUUUGAAUUUUUGGAGUGCUCUUUAAAGAUAUAUAUUGCUUUAAACAGAAAAAAGGCCAUGGUGUUUUUUAACCAGGUUUUCAACAAAAACCUGAGUUAUUAGAUUGGGGUAUGUCGUUGGUCGGGCGGAUGGGCGGGCGGCGGCGUCAAACUGGUGUUUCCGGUCAAUAACUUUUGUUUCGGUAAAGAUAUUUGAAUAAAACUUGGUAUGUAUGUAGCUUAUAUCAAGACAAAGGCUGGGAUUGAUUUUGGGGUUUCUGGGGUCAAGGUCAAGGUCACUGUUACUUAAAAUAGAAAAAGGGUUUCCGGUCAAUAACUUAACUUGGGAAU
This is a long non-coding RNA of Mercenaria mercenaria, 3161 nucleotides long. RefSeq lists it as uncharacterized. NCBI's taxonomy places the organism in Eukaryota, Metazoa, Mollusca, Bivalvia, Venerida, Veneridae. The transcript has 2 exons. The record is from RefSeq and is a predicted model, not a curated record.